RNAcentral lists this ribosomal RNA (508 nucleotides) under uncultured fungus. Its description in RNAcentral is "SSU rRNA". It matches the Rfam family "Eukaryotic small subunit ribosomal RNA", at positions 569 to 1078 of the family's 1831-position model. The record is from RNAcentral. Lineage: Eukaryota; Fungi.
CGCAGCCGCGGUAAUUCCAGCUCCAAUAGCGUAUAUUAAAGUUGUUGCAGUUAAAAAGCUCGUAGUUGAAUUUCGGGGUCAGCAGGUUGGUCGUGCCUAUGGUAUGAACUGGCUUCGCUGGUCUCUCCUUUCUGAAGAACUGUAAUGCCAUUAAUUUGGUGUUGCAGGGACACAGGACUGUUACUUUGAAAAAAUUAGAGUGUUUAAAGCAGGCUAACGCUUGAAUACAUUAGCAUGGAAUAAUGAAAUAGGACGUUCGAACCUAUUUUGUUGGUUUCUAGGAUUGACGUAAUGAUUAAUAGGGAUAGUUGGGGGCAUUAGUAUUCAAUUGUCAGAGGUGAAAUUCUUGGAUUUAUUGAAGACUGACUACUGCGAAAGCAUUUGCCAAGGAUGUUUUCAUUAAUCAAGAACGAAAGUUAGGGGAUCGAAGACGAUCAGAUACCGUCGUAGUCUUAACCAUAAACUAUGCCGACUAGGGAUCGGAUGAUGUUAAUUUUUUAAUGACUCA